AGAGUUUGAUCCUGGCUCAGGAUGAACGCUAGCUACAGGCUUAACACAUGCAAGUCGAGGGGAAACGACAUCGAAAGCUUGCUUUUGAUGGGCGUCGACCGGCGCACGGGUGAGUAACGCGUAUCCAACCUGCCCACCACUUGGGGAUAACCUUGCGAAAGUAAGACUAAUACCCAAUGAUAUCUCUAGAAGACAUCUGAAAGAGAUUAAAGAUUUAUCGGUGAUGGAUGGGGAUGCGUCUGAUUAGCUUGUGGCGGGGUAACGCCACAGGCGACGAUCAGUAGGGGUUCUGAGAGGAAGGUCCCCCANAUUGGAACUGAGACACGGUCCAAACUCCUACGGGAGGCA
RNAcentral lists this ribosomal RNA (348 nucleotides) under uncultured bacterium. RNAcentral describes it as "bacterial SSU rRNA". It matches the Rfam family "Bacterial small subunit ribosomal RNA", at positions 8 to 350 of the family's 1533-position model. The record is from RNAcentral.